This 453-nucleotide ribosomal RNA is filed under the name uncultured Oscillospiraceae bacterium. RNAcentral's name for it is "bacterial SSU rRNA". It matches the Rfam family "Bacterial small subunit ribosomal RNA", at positions 925 to 1382 of the family's 1533-position model. Lineage: Bacteria; Bacillati; Bacillota; Clostridia; Eubacteriales; Oscillospiraceae. The record is from RNAcentral.
ACAAGCAGUGGAGUAUGUGGUUUAAUUCGAAGCAACGCAAGAACCUUACCAGGGCUUGACAUCCUACUAACGAAGCGAGAGAUGCAGUUAGGUGCCUUCGGGAAAGUAGAGACAGGUGGUGCAUGGUUGUCGUCAGCUCGUGUCGUGAGAUGUUGGGUUAAGUCCCGCAACGAGCGCAACCCUUACGUUUAGUUGCUACGAAAGAGCACUCUAGACGGACUGCCGUUGACAAAACGGAGGAAGGUGGGGACGACGUCAAAUCAUCAUGCCCCUUAUGUCCUGGGCUACACACGUACUACAAUGGCGGCUAACAGAGGGCAGCAAAAGCGCGAGCUUAAGCGAAUCCCAAAAAGCCGUCCCAGUUCGGAUUGCAGGCUGAAACUCGCCUGCAUGAAGUCGGAAUUGCUAGUAAUCGCGGAUCAUCAUGCCGCGGUGAAUACGUUCCCGGGCCUU